UACGGAGGGUGCGAGCGUUGUCCGGAAUCACUGGGCGUAAAGGGCGCGUAGGCGGCCUGAUAAGUAGGGGGUGAAAUCUUGCGGCUUAACCGCAAGGCUGCCUUCUAAACUGUCAGGCUCGAGCACAGUAGAGGCAGGUGGAAUUCCCGGUGUAGCGGUGAAAUGCGUAGAGAUCGGGAGGAACACCCGUGGCGAAGGCGGCUCACUGGGCCGGUCCUGACGCUGAGACGCGAAGGCGUGGGGAGCGAACGGG
RNAcentral lists this ribosomal RNA (253 nucleotides) under uncultured bacterium. RNAcentral's name for it is "partial 16S ribosomal RNA". It matches the Rfam family "Bacterial small subunit ribosomal RNA", at positions 524 to 776 of the family's 1533-position model. The record is from RNAcentral.